This is a long non-coding RNA of Oncorhynchus tshawytscha (Chinook salmon), 7282 nucleotides long. The record is from Ensembl. NCBI's taxonomy places the organism in Eukaryota, Metazoa, Chordata, Actinopteri, Salmoniformes, Salmonidae.
CCUCGCCUCUAAUUGUCUAUGGUGGAUGAAAGUAUGGGGUCAAUGGGGGUAAUCGAUAACUGGUCUAUCCGACCUGAUGUUGACCAGGUUCAAAACCAUUAGAUCAAAUUAAAGUGCAUUUAAAAAUGAACACUAAAGUAACAGAAAAGAGCAGUCCCAGACUUAUGUAAACAAUUUAUUCUCAACUAUGUACAGAUCCAAGCAGUGAUUACCGUUAACAUCCAUCACAUCAUACAAAUGUCAUUACAAAAUUACUACAGUACAAUAUAGAUUCUUUGCAUGAUCCAAAAUAUUUGGUGGCCCCGAAAAUUAUUUUACCUUUAAAAAAAAAGGUCCAAUGCAGCUGUUUUUAUCUCACUAUCAAAUCAUUUCUGGGAAACAAUUAAGUACAUUUUAGUCAUUUAGUGGACGCGCUUAUCCGGAGCGACUUACAGGAGCAAUUAGGGUUAAAUGCCAUGCUCAAGGGCACAGACAUCUUUCACCUAGUCGGCUCGGAAUUCAAAACAGUGACCUUUCAGUUACUGGCCCAACGCUUUCAAUUAAAAUGGUCCAAAAAAAACAAAAAUAGCUUCUUAGCAAAGAUCGAUUUCUCAAGCAAAAAUGUUGCUUGGACUGUUUGGGAGUGGGGAGGGGUUAAACUGAAAAUUAGCUGUUAUUGGCAGGAAGAUUUUAUAACCCUCUUUCUUAUUGGUCUAUUAGCUAAUUUACCUCAUGGUGAUGUCACCAUGGAAGGUCAAAACUCCAUCCCACCAAAACAGGCUGAAAUUUCAGGUGGCCUUUUCAAAAACCUCUCGCACUAAAAGGGCAUUAUAAUUUUCACAGUAUUAUUCCAGUCUCAUAGUGUAUAUAAAACAGUUAAAUAAAGUUUGACUGCACUGGGCCUUUAAAAUUUCAUCAGCAUUUACAGAAACCAGUCAAAAGUUUGGACACCUACUCAUUCAAGGGUUUGUCUUCAUUUUUACAUUUUACAUUGUAGAAUAAUAGUGAAGACUUAAACUGUGAAAUAACACAUAUGGAAUCAUGUAGUAACAGAAAAAAAAGUGUUAAAUAAAUAUUUUAAAUUCGAGAUUCUUUCAAAGUAGCCACCCUUUGACUUGAUGACAGAUUUGCACAAUCUUGGCAUUCUCUCAAUCAGCUUCAUGAGGUAGUCACCUGGAAUGCAUUUCAAUUAACAGGUGUGCCUUGUUAAGUUGAUUUGUGGAAUUUGUUUACUUCUUAAUGCGUUUGAGCCAAAUCAGUUGUGUUGUGACAAGGUAGGGGUGGUGUACAGAAGAUAGCCCUAUUUGGUAAGAGACCAAGUCCAUCUUAUGACAAGAACAUCUCAAAUAAGCAAAAAGAAAUGGUCCAUCAUUACUUUAAGACAUGGUCAGUCAAUACAGAAAAUGUAAAGAACUUUGAGUCUUUAAGUGCAGUCGCAAAAACAAUCAAGCGCAUUGAUAAAACUGGCUCCAUUGAGGACCACCAUAGAAAAGGAAGACCCAGAGUUACCGCUGCUGCAGAGGAUAAGUUCAUUAGGGUUAACAGCCUCAAAUCUGCAAUUAACUGCACCACAGAUUGCAGCCCAAAUAAAUGCUUCAGAGUUCAAGUAAUAGACAACACAAACUGUUCAGAGGAGACUGCAUGAAUCAGGCCUUCAUGGUCAAAUUGCUGCAAAGAAACCACUACUAAAGGACACCAAUAAGGAGGAACAGACUUGAUUGGGACAAGAAACACGAGUGAUGGACAUUAGACCAGUGGAAAUAUGUCCUUUUAAUGAGUCCAAAUAUAAGAUUUUUGGUUCCAACCGCCGCGUGAGACGCGGAGUAGGUGAACGGAUGAUCUCUGCAUGUGUGGUUCCCAUCGUGAAGCAUGGAGGUGGUGGAGUUAUGGUGCUUUGCUGGUGACUCUGUCUGUGAUUUAUUUAGAAUUCAAGGCACACUAAACCAGCAUGGCUACCACAGCAUUCUGCAACUAUACGCCAUCCCAUCUGGUUUGUGCUUAGUGGGCCUAUCACUUGUUUUCAACGGGACAAUGACCCAACACACCUCCAGACUGUGUUAAGGGCUAUUUGACCAAGGAGAGUGAUGGAGUGCUGCAUCAGAUGACGUGGCCUCCACAAUCAUCCUACCUCAACCCAAUUGAGAUGGUUUGGGAUGCGUUGGACGGCAGAGUGAAGGAAAAGCAGCCAACAAGUGCUCAGCAUAUGUGGUAACUCCUUCAAGACUGUUGGAAAAACAUUCCAGGUGAUGACCUCAUGAAGCUGGUUGAGAGAAUGCCAAGAGUGUGUCAAACUGUCAUCAAGGCAAAGGGUGGCUACUUUAAAGAAUUUGAAAUGUUUUGAUUUGUUUAACACUUUUUUGGUUACUACAUGACCACAUGCCAUUUCAUAUUUUUAAAGUCUUCACUAUUAUUCUACAAUGAAUGAAAAUAGUCCAAAUAAAUAAAAAUCCUUUAACGAGUAGGUGUUUCCAAACUUUUGACUGGUACUGUAUCUAAAUAAAAUCACUAGUUUCUUACAUUAUUCAGCAAAAAGGGUGAAGGCAGACUUGGGAGAAAUUCUAGUCAAGUUUUUUUUUCUCAUGGCUAAAUUAAGGUAUUAGGCUAUUGUUAGAGGUGUUCUUUAAAUGAGACAUUCUACGGUUGGUUGGUGCUGUAAAAAGAGAAUAAGAUUUUUCAAUAAAGCUAUUUUUGCCCCUCACUUCUUCAAAAUGAAAGACCUCAAUUUGCAAACAAAGCUGUAAGAAGCCAUGAGCCUAUUUGUUUUUCGCUUAAUGUCUAAGGUCUUUCUUCCAUUAUUGGAAAACAUUAUGAAUCACCAUCAAAAUCAUCCAGUUGUUAUCAAGGCAUCAUGUACAUAUUACAUUUUAACACCACCUAAAAAUGUCUUACAAUCACUUUGCCACAGUUGCAUUAAUUAUGUGCAAGUUCUCUUCCUAAUUUCAUAUUCCUCAAAGUUACAAGUCAAUUUGAAUGUCUGUGUAUAUCUAGAUACAAUUACUCUUUGACACUGACUCUGGGUGUGUGUAAGUCUCAGUGUCUUAAUGGUGAGCUAGCACACAUAUCAAAACACAGUGAACUGAACACCCAUGGACAGGUAUAUGCUCUGUAUUCAAGGGUUAAAGCAGGAGAGGCUUACUAAUCUCUUAUCGGUAAAGGGAGAUGGAAAAAAGGCAUACAUUUGGAAAAUAACAACAAGAAAAAUAACAGUAAACAUAACCUCCCGAGGUUACUACAAACAAAUAUUCAAGUAAAGAAACUACAUCAUAGCAGCGGCAAUAUCAGUAAAACAGCACACCGGUUCUGCGGAGGACACAGAUAAAGCUAAGUCCUGGACUAAACAAAUACUUCAGUGGAUAUUCUCCAUUCACCAUGCUUUUUAGUCCACCACUAGGUUUAACUUGUGUCUCGGAAACCGGCCUUCUUUGUUUGUAUUUUUUAAAUUCAGUGUGACAAGUAGUGGUAGGACGAAACUAAUCAAGCCAUGCCUCAUCCAAUUUUUUACAUGACAAAAACACCUGGAAUGUGACAAAAACUCAAUUAAUUUCAACUUCAGGACACAACAGACAUGGCACAAAAACAACUACAGAAACAAGUGCCUCCAUAUAUCCCAUGAUGUCUUAUUAACCUGGUGAAGUGAAAAGGAACAAUCCAGUUUGGAUCCAGGCUAACUUGACAUACCCCAUCAUUUUUUUUUUUUUUUACUAGUGUUAAAAUGUCCCAUUAACUACAUGUUACCAAUGAGUAAAACCUCCCAUCAAUACACAGUUACAAAAAAUAACAAUAAUACAAAAUGUAUAAUAAUAAUAACAACAACCUUAGUUUGUUGGCUUUGGAAAGGGUUUGUAGCUAUAUCUGCAGUACUUCAUAUCCAGGCUUAGUUUACACCAAUUAUCUUUUAGAGCAUUUCUGAUAUUGAGAAUCGUAUAUUUAAAAACAGGUCAAAUACACCCACAAGUUUAAAAAUAUAUAUAUAUUUAGAAGUGACUAUACCAUAUCGAAUACCCAGUGAAGUAAUACAUGAGGUGUUUAGUGUUAUAAGUCUCCUGUAAAUUAAUACUUUAUGAGUAUGUAAAUGUGUGGGUCUACUAAAGUAUGUGUAUGUGUAGUCUGUUUGAACAAGUGCUUCCAAUGUUCUUGUGAGGGGGGGACAAAAUACUACAAAAUGAUUACACUCACCUACAGAGUGAAUCUGAUUAGUUGGUUGGGCAUAAAGAUGCUUUCUCCCCUACUCAAUCUCUGACAACCAUGGGAUACAUUCAGGCAAUCAACAACUUCAAGACUUCUGUCAAAAACAAUAACACUCCAAAACAAAAAGGAACAAAAAGUAGGUCAAGCGUCACAGUAUUUAACAAGAUAAUACAUUUGGAUGUGGGCUACGGGUAAAAGGUUAAGGGGGGAAUGCUCCUGCAGGUAUGUAUGAGAUACAAGGUCCAAUAUUGUACGUCAACUAAAUGGUUUGGGAAGUAAAGGGCCACCAACACGCAAGGGAUCAAGCAUUGGAGUACGCUGCAUUCAAAACGGUCAUUACAAUCAUCCUCAAAGGUCAUGCUUUUAAAACAAAAAGCAAAGCCACAAUAACAGAAAAGAAAAAAACAGUACAAGAAAAAAAAAAAAUCAUUUAAAACAACGAUUUGCUUGCUGUUGAGUUUUGGAUCGACAACCAAACAAGGUCAGAGACAUACACGCUAUCAAGACCGUGCCAUAGUCCCAGUAGUAAUACUCAAGGAACAAAGGAGGAACACGUUCAGCCAAAGCCCUGUAUGCCCUUUCUCGACCCCGCUCCCUACCUCCCUCCUCUGACAAGUUUAGAAAUACGUCUCCACGAUUCAAAGUUUUGUUUUCGGGAAAGGUGAGAAAGAUGGAAAUUGAGAUUUUAAACAAUAUGAGUCAGGUAAGCAUCUAAGAGUCUGAUAUUAUGGCCGCUAGGUAAAACGUCCAUGCAUGCAGAGAACACGUCACUUCCACAGCACAGAACAGAGGCAGCCUGAAAAAGUUGACCUUAAAGUUAUGACAUGUAUGAAGCAGUGUUCACGGUCUCUUUUUAGAAUCACAACCAAAACCCUGCUAGAUGGAUUCAACUAGAUGAGAAUAUAAAAAAGGUAGUUCCCAGACUUGUAUGUUUUCUAAACCUGGUUCAUGCUAGACACUGAUGGGAAAGCCUCUGGUAAACAAAGGGGUGGUGGAGGGAUAAAAACCUGAAAAACAAGAAACUACAUGGUUGUUUAAGAAACCUCAUCACAGGGCUACACAAGAAAUACCACAACUAUCCGAUGACGCCACACACUGACGUCACACUAACGUUGUACACCCACUGUCCUCACUUCCAACUUUGACGCAAGCAUGCUACUUAGUUAUUUCCUGUUUUUAAGACAAGUCACUUUUCAACCACAACAAAUAAAAAUCAUAUGCACUUCUGUCUGUGAUGUGCGUUUGACUGACUGGUUUAGGCAACAACUUCUGACCUGCCUAUAAAGAUUUAAACUCUGAUAUUACUCUAAAUAUGCACUGACAAGAUGUUUUAUUAACUCAAUGUAAUUACUUUGAUGACUACAAGAAAAUACAUGCUAUUCUUAUUCUAAGAUAUGCAGAGGCAGUUUCCCAAAGAAAAAAGAAAAACUUGCUGGUUCGAUUUUUGAAAUUAAUGAUAGUAUCAGCAUUUACUUUACUCGAAUACCCUCCGCUGCUGUUGUUUGGCUAGCAGCCGUCCUGGCUGUUGAGGAUACUAUGCUGUCUUUGAGACCAUUAACAACAUUUCCAUGCAACUUCCUGAUUUCUUUUAACCACCCCUACAUACAUUUUAUGGUUGGUAUCCUCCAGUCUAGUUCUACACCAAGACCCUCCCUCCCCCUACCUCUGAGUGACACUUUCCGGCCGAUAUGUAUCGAUUAAAAAGCUCUUCUUCACUGACCGUUUAUCCUCAAAUCAGCACUACCCCCUCUGUAAAUAUAAAACCAUGAUUUUACCACAACGAAACAAAAGUUUCCCCCGUAUUUUUUGUUUUGUUUAACGUCGCUGGAGAGCAUGGAUGAAAGAAAAUGUUUAAAAAAGAGACAAAACAAAAAGCUAAGCUGACAUCUUUUCAUUACUGAUUGUGAUGUGGAAAUGAUUAAAUACAUUUUUCAUCCCUUGAUAAAUUUGGCCCGCCGGUCCCCAUGUUCCCCUCGCCUGUUGCGUGGGGGGGCGGUGAGUGCCUCGGCUGGCUAACACCUCCCUCCCACCCCGCCCAUCCAGAAGGUUGAGGAGGGGUCACGGUCUGCACCCCCUUCCCUCCCCAGCUGGCAGACCCUACCCCCAGUAAAGGGUAACAUGUUCUCUGGGUAUAAGAGGUUCCAAUCCGUCGUCUCCCAUAGUGAAUUACCUGGUAGGAGAGAGACAGAGGGAGACCAAUAUUAAUUGAAAAAUAUGCUUUAAUCCCAUCCCCCUUUUCCUGCUAUAACAGACUCCACUCUUCUGGGAAGGCUUUCCACUAGAUGUUGGAACAUUGCUGCAGGGACUUGCAUUCAGCCACAAGAGCAUUAGAGAGGUCAGGCAUUGAUGUUGGGCUAUUAGGCCUGGCUUGCAGUCAUCGUUCCAAUUCAUCCCAAAAGUGUUUGAAGGGGUUGAGGUCAGGACUCUGGUGUGGAAGAACUUGACUGGUCUGCACAAUCUCUACAAACCAUUUCUGUAUGGACCUCGCUUUGUGCACGAGGACAUUGUCAAAUCAGAAACAGGAAAGGACCUUCCCCAAACUGUUGCCACAAAUUUGGAAGCACAGAAUCAUCUAGAAUGUCAUUGUAUGCCGUAGCGUUCAGAUUUCCCUUCACUGGAUCUACGGGGCCUAGAACGAACCAUGAGAAACAGCCCCAGGUCAUUAUUAUGUUGCUUCAAUAUAUUCACAUAAUUUCCCUGCCUCAUGAUGCCAUCUAUUUUGUGAAGUGCACCAGUCCCUCCUGCAGCAAAGUACCCCCACAACAUGGUGCUGCCACCCCUGUGCUUCACGGUUGGGAUGGUGUUCUUCGGCUUGCAAGCGUGCCAAUUUUUUCCUCCAAACAUAACGAUGGUCAUUACGGCCAAACAGUUCUAUUUUUGUUUCAUCAGACCAGAGGACAUUUCUCCAAAAAGUACGAUCUUUGUCCCCAUGGGCAGUUGCAAACUGUAGUCUGGCUUUUUUAUGGUGGUUUUGGAGCAGUGGCUUCUUCCUUGCUGAGCGGCCUUUCAGGUUAUGUCGAUAUAGGCCUCAUUUUACUCUGGAUAUUGAUACUUGUAUACCCGUUUCCUCCAGAAUUUCCACAAGGUCUUUUCAUGUUGUUCUGGGAUUGAUUUG